RNAcentral lists this ribosomal RNA (253 nucleotides) under uncultured bacterium. RNAcentral describes it as "partial 16S ribosomal RNA". It matches the Rfam family "Bacterial small subunit ribosomal RNA", at positions 524 to 776 of the family's 1533-position model. The record is from RNAcentral.
UACGUAGGGUGCAAGCGUUGUCCGGAAUUAUUGGGCGUAAAGAGCUCGUAGGCGGUCUGUCGCGUCUGCUGUGAAAACUCAGGGCUUAACCCUGAGCUUGCAGUGGGUACGGGCAGACUAGAGUGCGGUAGGGGAGACUGGAAUUCCUGGUGUAGCGGUGAAAUGCGCAGAUAUCAGGAGGAACACCGGUGGCGAAGGCGGGUCUCUGGGCCGUAACUGACGCUGAUGCGCGAAAGCCAGGGGAGCGAACGGG